GCAGUGCCCAAUCUUACAGAAGCAGAGAAAAGCAGUGCCCAAUCUUACAGAAGCAGAGACAAGCAGUGCCCAAUCCUACAGAAGCAGAGACAAGCAGUGCCCAAUCUUACAGAAGCGGAGACAAGCAGUGCCCAAUCCUACAGAAGCGGAGACAAGCAGUGCCCAAUCCUAUAGAAGCAGAGACAAGCAGUGCCCAAUCCCACAGAGGCCAAGACAAGUAGCACCCAAUCCUACAGAAGCAGAGACAAGCAGUGCCCAAUCCUAAGAUUUGGACAGAGAGUAAGACUGGAAACCAUGUUUCAGGGCAGACUGUCAUGCUUUAGCUAGAGUGUCAGGAGUAAGGAUGAACAGUGGCCAAACUUAGAACUGAGGAUUGCCUUCCAUUACCAGUUUUACAUUGGCCAGUUAAAGACAGAAAAAGAGUCCAGACCAGAAGGAUCCACUGCUAAAACCAACCAUGUCAAGAGCAGUUGGCUGACCUUGACCUGGCAGUGAAGAGGAGACGCCCCAUAAACUGAGGCCUACCUCGGAAGAUAUGGUAA
Molecule: long non-coding RNA, 542 nt
Organism: Saccostrea cuccullata (small rock oyster)
Lineage: Eukaryota; Metazoa; Mollusca; Bivalvia; Ostreida; Ostreidae
Exons: 4
Source: RefSeq, a predicted model, not a curated record